This 282-nucleotide long non-coding RNA is filed under the name Nicotiana benthamiana. Its description in RNAcentral is "long non-coding RNA (NBEN_LNC003474)". Lineage: Eukaryota; Viridiplantae; Streptophyta; Magnoliopsida; Solanales; Solanaceae. The record is from RNAcentral.
GUAAGACAAGGACCCCUUUUUCUCUUUACAACGUCUUACUACCACAGCUAUUCCACUCUGUAGAUACGAAUAGUCCAAACACGUAUCUUCGGGCGAAUAGCCUUUAAUUAAGCAAGGGCGAGACCAAAGCACUUAACUAUAGAAAUUACUUAGAAUAGUGAAAAUCGGCACUACUCAAGCCUUCUUAUCCGCGAGUGCUACUCGCCCAAGGAAGUCUCUAGCGGUUCAAUUCAAUUAGGUGAAAACUGUCUCGGAUGCCCCUUCCUCCUCAACCCGGGAGAA